This 246-nucleotide unclassified non-coding RNA is filed under the name Ascomycota sp. Its description in RNAcentral is "partial contains small subunit ribosomal RNA, internal transcribed spacer 1, and 5.8S ribosomal RNA". The stretch from base 1 to 47 matches the Rfam family "Eukaryotic small subunit ribosomal RNA", at positions 1785 to 1831 of the family's 1831-position model. The record is from RNAcentral. Lineage: Eukaryota; Fungi; Ascomycota.
AAAGUCGUAACAAGGUCUCCGUUGGUGAACCAGCGGAGGGAUCAUUAGCGAGUUUCAAAGCUCCAAACCCCUGUGAACUAGUCCUAAAGACGCUGUCUCGGUGGGUAGCUAGUGGGACUCGUCCCGCCAGCGUGCCCGGCCGCCUGGGCCAGGCGCCCGCCGGAGGUAGCAAAAAAAAACUCUAUAUUUUUUCUCAACUACCCAAAAAAAUAAGCAAAACUUUCAACAACGGAUCUCUUGGCUCUG